GAGAGGAGCUGCCCCUAGUACGAGAGGACCGGGGUGGACGUACCUCUGGUGUACCUGUUGUGGCGCCAGCCGCACCGCAGGGUAGCUAAGUACGGACGGGAUAACUGCUGAAAGCAUCUAAGCGGGAAGCCUCCCUCAAAACUAGGUCUCGCCUGAGAGCCGUGGAAGACCACCACGUUGAUAGGCCGGGUGUGGAAGUGCAGCAAUGCAUGAAGCUAACCGGUUACUAAUCGCUCGAUCGGCUUGUUCUU
Molecule: ribosomal RNA, 251 nt
Filed under: Rhodospirillaceae bacterium
Lineage: Bacteria; Pseudomonadati; Pseudomonadota; Alphaproteobacteria; Rhodospirillales; Rhodospirillaceae
Description: partial 23S ribosomal RNA
Rfam family: Bacterial large subunit ribosomal RNA
Source: RNAcentral